AUGCCUGUUCGAGCGUCAUUGCAACCCUCAAGCCUGGCUUGGUAUUGGGUGCCACUCUAGGUGCGCCCCAAAAUUAUCAGCAGCGGCAUCUGGCCUCCAGCGUAGUAAAUUUCUCGCUCUGGGGCUUGGUGACUGGCGGCUCAGAACCCAAAUUAUCAAAGGUUGACCUCGGAUCAGGUAGGGAUACCCGCUGAACUUAA
Molecule: unclassified non-coding RNA, 200 nt
Filed under: soil metagenome
Description: partial contains internal transcribed spacer 2 and large subunit ribosomal RNA
Source: RNAcentral